RNAcentral lists this ribosomal RNA (813 nucleotides) under Gastrophryne olivacea (western narrow-mouthed toad). RNAcentral describes it as "partial 16S rRNA". It matches the Rfam family "Bacterial large subunit ribosomal RNA", at positions 1535 to 2574 of the family's 2925-position model. The record is from RNAcentral. Lineage: Eukaryota; Metazoa; Chordata; Amphibia; Anura; Microhylidae.
ACCAAAAACACCCAAUAACCCUUACUUAGUACUAAGUAACUCUAUACUUUUAUAGAAAUUAUUAUGCUAAAACUAGUAACAUGAAGAAGCCCUUCUCCCAAAUGCACCUGUAAGCCAAAAAGAACAAUUCAUUGGCAUUUAACGCUAUUGACCCUAAAGCAAUAACUACACAAGAAAAUUUUGCUAACACCAACGUUAACCUAACACAAGAGCAUUCCGGGAAAGAUUAAAAGAAGUGGAAGGAACUCGGCAAAUUUUAACCCCGCCUGUUUACCAAAAACAUCGCCUCCUGCAGUAUAUAGGAGGUCCAGCCUGCCCAGUGACCAAGUUAAACGGCCGCGGUACCCUAACCGUGCGAAGGUAGCGCAAUCACUUGUUCUUUAAAUGAGGACUAGUAUGAAUGGCAUCACGAGGGUUACACUGUCUCCCACCUCUAAUCAGUGAAACUGAUCUCCCCGUGAAGAAGCGGGGAUAAAACUAUAAGACGAGAAGACCCCAUGGAGCUUCAAACCCGGCAUCAACCAUUAACAUUAAUACCACAUUAAAUAAAUGGACCUGACUGCUGGUUUUAGGUUGGGGUGACCGCGGAGCAUAACAAAACCUCCAUGAUGAACGACCUCCUCUCUAAUCCGAGAGCCACCACUCAAAGAAUCAAAAAAUUGACAUUUAUUGACCCAAACUAUUUUGAUCAACGAACCAAGUUACCCUGGGGAUAACAGCGCAAUCCAUUUCAAGAGCCCCUAUCGACAAAUGGGUUUACGACCUCGAUGUUGGAUCAGGGUAUCCUAGUGGUGCAGCCGCUACUAAAGGUUC